This 256-nucleotide long non-coding RNA is filed under the name Salmo salar (Atlantic salmon). RNAcentral's name for it is "lncRNA (ENSSSAG00000088006.1)". The record is from RNAcentral. Lineage: Eukaryota; Metazoa; Chordata; Actinopteri; Salmoniformes; Salmonidae.
GGUAUGGGACUGUAGGUGGAGGUAUAGAGGUAUGGGACUGUAGGUGGAGGUAUAGAGGUAUGGGACUGUAGGUGGAGGUAUAGAGGUAUGGGACUGUAGGUGGAGGUAUAGGACUGUAGGUGGAGGUAUAGAGGUAUGGGACUGUAGGUGGAGGUAUAGAGGUAUGGGACUGUAGGUGGAGGUAUAGAGGUAUGGGACUGUAGGUGGAGGUAUAGAGGUAUGGGACUGUAGGUGGAGGUAUGGGACUGUAGGUGGA